RNAcentral lists this transfer RNA (75 nucleotides) under Bacilli bacterium. RNAcentral describes it as "tRNA-Glu". It matches the Rfam family "tRNA". Rfam says of the family: Transfer RNA (tRNA) molecules are approximately 80 nucleotides in length. Their secondary structure includes four short double-helical elements and three loops (D, anti-codon, and T loops). Lineage: Bacteria; Bacillati; Bacillota; Bacilli. The record is from RNAcentral.
GGCCCGUUGGUCCAGCCGUUAAGACACCGCCCUUUCACGGCGGUAACACGGGUUCGAAUCCCGUACGGGUCACCA